Molecule: long non-coding RNA, 1492 nt
Organism: Alosa alosa (allis shad)
Lineage: Eukaryota; Metazoa; Chordata; Actinopteri; Clupeiformes; Clupeidae
Exons: 9
Source: RefSeq, a predicted model, not a curated record
GAAAAAGCCAGAGUCAGACGAAAAGAUCUCAGAUGAAAAGUUAUCAGUCGGGUAUCAGGCAUCAGAUGAAUGGAGUCAGGUCUCAGAAAAAACGGAGUCAGACGAAAAGAUCUCAGAUGAAAAGUUAUCAGAAGCCGAAAAAAUAUCCCGCGUCAUCACGACUUGCAUCAAAAUGCGACCAAACGUAGUAUACUGUGUGAAAGCGAGAAAAGGAGAAGACAGUGAUACAGAACAAAAAUGGAUAAAGUGCAACAAUAUGAGCGAUUAAAAAACGAACUGGAAAAUGGGACAACAAGGAGGCAACGAGGUCGGGGCACUAUUAGAAAAUUAUAUUGGAGGAAACCCCAUAACGGGUCAUAAUGCAAGGGCAUGAAACCUAUGAUGACCUCAUUUCCAUAGGACAGGAAAAGUUCUGGCCUGAUUGCGCCGAGAGUGAGUUCACCCUAUGCCAUCAGGUGGAGCAAGGAGGAUUUCAUGAGGGAACAUUCAACCAUGGCCGAGAUGUCCACACCAUGGAAGAGAACAUUAUUUGUAGGCCGAAAAGAAUUAGAUGAUUUAAUAUGACUUUGUUGAUGACCAGACAUCAAUGUUAGAUGAGCCCGCUAAAUCAGAUGUGGCAGGAAGUUUUGCCAGUGAGUUCCCUGUGGAUUCAGGGAAUAGUGCAGAUAGAGGCACAAACGAUUUUCCAUUAGGGUCAUCUGGUGUAGAGGAGGCUGUAGACCAACAAUGGUCGCCAGACAGUGCAAUCGAUGGAGGUGUUGAAUGUGAAAGUGCUGGAGAUGUUACUGCAUCUUCCAGUUCCUUUGUGCCAUCAUUGUACCUUCCUCGUCUUCCGUCUGUGGACACAUCUUUGAUUACAUACGAUGAGAAUGUUCUCCUUGGAGAGGGAACAUUUGGGAAAGUAUAUGGCGGUUCCUAUCAGGGUACUCCGGCAGCGAUUUGGCCCGGAAAGAGAUGAGGAUAAAGACAUCCAGCAUGAAAUUAACGUGUCCCUGAGACUGUCUAAUCCUAACAUAGUUAGACUGAUGGCAGCUGCCCGAUCUGAUUUGUGCUUUUUGCUGGCGACGGAAUACAUUCAUGGUGCAACCCUGGAUGCUGUGAUCCAUUGCAACAACUGCCUUGUAACGCGGUUUUCCUGAGACCUGAUGCCUUUUCAUCUGAUGUCUGACACCUGAGUCUGACAGCUGAGGAUGUCCUAAAAUGUACACCGUACAUGUGAGCAAAUGGUCACAAGAGCAAGUUUGGCUGACAAAAGGUUUGGCAUGAUCAAACGCUGGGGUGAUGAUUAAAAUGAAUGUUAAAAUGCAUACACUCUAGAAUGUUAAAAUACAUACACUCUGGAAUUUCUCACUACAGUACAUCUGUAUGCUACUGAGACCUUACAUUUCCCCUUAGGGAUCUAUCUAUAUAAUAUAUCUAUUUAUCUACAUAUUUUCUCAUUUUGUGACCUCAUUUAUGUUUGAACAAAGUUUGAAAAAAGUUACAUGUUCUC